RNAcentral lists this transfer RNA (86 nucleotides) under Deltaproteobacteria bacterium. RNAcentral describes it as "tRNA-Leu". It matches the Rfam family "tRNA". From Rfam's summary of the family: Transfer RNA (tRNA) molecules are approximately 80 nucleotides in length. Their secondary structure includes four short double-helical elements and three loops (D, anti-codon, and T loops). Further hydrogen bonds mediate the characteristic L-shaped molecular structure. tRNAs have two regions of fundamental functional importance: the anti-codon, which is responsible for specific mRNA codon recognition, and the 3' end, to which the tRNAs corresponding amino acid is attached (by aminoacyl-tRNA synthetases). tRNAs cope with the degeneracy of the genetic code in two manners: having more than one tRNA (with a specific anti-codon) for a particular amino acid; and 'wobble' base-pairing, i.e. permitting non-standard base-pairing at the 3rd anti-codon position. Lineage: Bacteria; Pseudomonadati; Myxococcota; Myxococcia. The record is from RNAcentral.
GCGAGGGUGGUGGAAAGGUAGACGCAGGGGACUUAAAUCCCCUGGAGCUUAGCGCCGUGAGGGUUCAACUCCCUCCCCGGGCACCA